CGUGAUGAAUUCUAGGGUUCGUCUGGUUUUCCAAGGUCUGAAUCGUUCUACCAACAAUGGCGGCUCUAAGAUGGCGUGUGACUCGACGUUUUGAGAGUAAUCUUCCCGUUGGAAUCUAUUAAUGUCGUUUCAGUCUUGAUGCUUCACCUUCUGAAACGACGAUUCACAUUCAUUCGGCAUCAUAAAAUUUUUUUUAACUCUUUUCCCCACUACAUCCACGAUCUCAAAUUCAAUGAAUCUUAUCCAUCUUCAAUCGGUGAUCCUCAACUAUAAAAAGGCUGUUUGUUGUUCAUCUACGGUGGAGGUGGCGCGACCGCGCCGAUUCUGGGAAGCAAGAAACGUGGUGGCCAGUUGAUGGGUUUAGACUCCUCCUCGACGCUAAGGUUGUUUAGUUCUUUGAACCAUAAUCAUAGUAAUUUUAAAACAAAUUCCGGCAUACAAACUCAAAAAAAUCUGCUAUUCGCACUAUAAAUAGUUGGUCCAGUCUUUCGGAUAUUGUUUCAGUUAUGUCUGUUGGUUUUUCUUCUUCCUAUUUACAUGUGUUUCAGGUGAUUAUAACACCAGCCACCGUGAAUGUCAACCGUCUGACCACUUUCAGAGAUCGCCUGAAGGCUGGAUCAAUUUUCUCUGCCACCGGAUUUGAUGUCACUCGGUGCAACAUAACUUCAGACUCCCAUGACUCUCCUCUAGCGAUUCGAUUCGGUGAUUCCACCGCUCUCGAUGAGUUAACCAAACUCAAGACCCCAAUUCCUGAAGAACGGCUCAGAUUCCGUGAUCACCGUGAGCUGCUUGGCCUAGCCAACACUAACACUUAUCUUCCAGGUAAAUCGUCUUACUAUCGGUUUCUCCUACUCAUUUCUCUAACCAGUGCACUGUUUAGAAAUUAUAUAAGAAGCUGCUGUAAACAUAUAGAGGGCUCAUGCCAAAGAAACUACCUCGCAUUUCCACGUAAGCAAACCAGAUUGAGGAGGUGGUGAAAUUGAUCAGCAAACCAGAUUGAGGAGUUAAAGACGCAAUCAUACCAAGCCAGUAUUAAAAGGUAACGUUCUGGUGAAAACAUUAAAAGAGCUUGGGAUUUUCUCUCUCGGAGAUGCAAUUGAUUGUUGCUGCACGCUACGCUUUGUAAAAGAAGACAUCUUUGUCAUGUGAUAACUAUCUUUGUCAAUUCGUUUUGUAAUUCUAUGCAUCGAUGGAUUGUCUCUUAACUUUUUAAUUCACUCUUGUAUAAUUUUAUCAGACCAAGAUCUUGCUCA
Molecule: long non-coding RNA, 1253 nt
Organism: Brassica napus (rape)
Lineage: Eukaryota; Viridiplantae; Streptophyta; Magnoliopsida; Brassicales; Brassicaceae
Exons: 3
Source: RefSeq, a predicted model, not a curated record